Molecule: ribosomal RNA, 1539 nt
Filed under: Shigella flexneri
Lineage: Bacteria; Pseudomonadati; Pseudomonadota; Gammaproteobacteria; Enterobacterales; Enterobacteriaceae
Description: bacterial SSU rRNA
Rfam family: Bacterial small subunit ribosomal RNA
Source: RNAcentral
AAAUUGAAGAGUUUGAUCAUGGCUCAGAUUGAACGCUGGCGGCAGGCCUAACACAUGCAAGUCGAACGGUAACAGGAAGCAGCUUGCUGUUUCGCUGACGAGUGGCGGACGGGUGAGUAAUGUCUGGGAAACUGCCUGAUGGAGGGGGAUAACUACUGGAAACGGUAGCUAAUACCGCAUAACGUCGCAAGACCAAAGAGGGGGACCUUCGGGCCUCUUGCCAUCGGAUGUGCCCGGAUGGGAUUAGCUAGUAGGUGGGGUAACGGCUCACCUAGGCGACGAUCCCUAGCUGGUCUGAGAGGAUGACCAGCCACACUGGAACUGAGACACGGUCCAGACUCCUACGGGAGGCAGCAGUGGGGAAUAUUGCACAAUGGGCGCAAGCCUGAUGCAGCCAUGCCGCGUGUAUGAAGAAGGCCUUCGGGUUGUAAAGUACUUUCAGCGGGGAGGAAGGGAGUAAAGUUAAUACCUUUGCUCAUUGACGUUACCCGCAGAAGAAGCACCGGCUAACUCCGUGCCAGCAGCCGCGGUAAUACGGAGGGUGCAAGCGUUAAUCGGAAUUACUGGGCGUAAAGCGCACGCAGGCGGUUUGUUAAGUCAGAUGUGAAAUCCCCGGGCUCAACCUGGGAACUGCAUCUGAUACUGGCAAGCUUGAGUCUCGUAGAGGGGGUAGAAUUCCAGUGUGUAGCGGUGAAAUGCGUAGAGAUCUGGAGGAAUACCGGUGGCGAAGGCGGCCCCUGGACGAAGACUGACGCUCAGGUGCGAAAGCGUGGGGAGCAAACAGGAUUAGAUACCCUGGUAGUCCACGCCGUAAACGAUGUCGACUUGGAGGUUGUGCCCUUGAGGUGUGGCUUCCGGAGCUAACGCGUUAAGUCGACCGCCUGGGAGUACGGCCGCAAGGUUAAAACUCAAAUGAAUUGACGGGGGCCCGCACAAGCGGUGGAGCAUGUGGUUUAAUUCGAUGCAACGCGAAGAACCUUACCUGGUCUUGACAUCCACGGAAGUUUUCAGAGAUGAGAAUGUGCCUUCGGGAACCGUGAGACAGGUGCUGCAUGGCUGUCGUCAGCUCGUGUUGUGAAAUGUUGGGUUAAGUCCCGCAACGAGCGCAACCCUUAUCCUUUGUUGCCAGCGGUCCGGCCGGGAACUCAAAGGAGACUGCCAGUGAUAAACUGGAGGAAGGUGGGGAUGACGUCAAGUCAUCAUGGCCCUUACGACCAGGGCUACACACGUGCUACAAUGGCGCAUACAAAGAGAAGCGACCUCGCGAGAGCAAGCGGACCUCAUAAAGUGCGUCGUAGUCCGGAUUGAGUCUGCAACUCGACUCCAUGAAGUCGGAAUCGCUAGUAAUCGUGGAUCAGAAUGCCACGGUGAAUACGUUCCCGGGCCUUGUACACACCGCCCGUCACACCAUGGGAGUGGGUUGCAAAAGAAGUAGGUAGCUUAACCUUCGGGAGGGCGCUUACCACUUUGUGAUUCAUGACUGGGGUGAAGUCGUAACAAGGUAACCGUAGGGGAACCUGCGGUUGGAUCACCUCCUUA